UGUAAUGUCAGUUUCGUAUGAUUCCCGGACUAGUUUGGAGCAAUAUCAAGAAGUGUGCAACUUACUCCAUGGAAGAUCUACAAUUCUUAGAUCUAGACAGGAAACAAUCAGAGAUGGCCUGUACGUGUCUGCUUCUUUGCAGUUUGGGGUUCUGUGAGUUCUUGAUUGUUCAUACUAUAUUCUUUCAUUACUCAUCAUGGUUGGCUUUCGUGUUGGAACUAGGAAACUGACAUUCUUGAGUAUCUGACCGGGAUGCUGGAUGGCCUGGUGCAUUUGUUAUGAAAAAUAUGUCCAGCUCUUGGAGCCGCUGCAAUUCCAUCCUGGUCACCUUUGUUUAGCCUUUAUUUGAGUGAAAUUCAGAUUCAAGUCAGGGGAGAUCUCUCAACAAUGAGGUGUUGUGAGUGUGGUCAUAAUAAGGAGCACACUGACUGUGUAUAUGAAUUAACUCCAUCCCAACUCCAUUUGAUUCAAAUAUAAUUUUUCUAUUGACUGUAGAAAUCAUUUAACAACGUAUGUGCAGCAAAUAAUUAAUGCACAGCUUAUUUCAGGUGAACUUGGUGCUUUCAUUUGGUGCCUUUAUGCUUUUCUAGCUCUCGUCUGGUUGCCCAUAGCUGACGAUUCUGCUCGACUUUUUUGGACUAUAAGGUUACUUUCGUUUUCUGGGGAUGGGCGGUGUGGUCUUCUGACGUAGGACUGGACCUCAUUCUACUUACAAGCUAGCUUCCAGGAAAGUUACUAUCAGUCUUUGGUCGAACCAGAAGCAAAAUACAACCCCAUAAACAACAGUACGCGACGAUGCAGAUAUAAUCCCUUCCAAAAGAACUUUGUCAUCUGUACCGGCAUUGCAUCACUAGAGGAAAGUCUCCAUUCCUUUCUGUAGAAUGGGACCUUGGUGACCUGGAUAUGGCAUCAAAGAAAAGCAUAUUGGAGUCUUGAUAAUAAUGUUUAUCAACUUCCACCAAUGGGAAUGUGACACCAUACAGAGGGCCUGCAAGUGGGAAUUGAUACUUGAAAGCUUCACCUACAUGAUCUUUUGUUAGCAAUUCCUUUUGGUUUUGGCUCCGGCUCAUAUAACCUCUAUAAAAGUACUCACAGCUGAAGGUGGAUAACAAGUGCUAA
This is a long non-coding RNA of Argentina anserina (silverweed cinquefoil), 1119 nucleotides long. RefSeq lists it as uncharacterized. The record is from RefSeq and is a predicted model, not a curated record. The transcript has 5 exons. Lineage: Eukaryota; Viridiplantae; Streptophyta; Magnoliopsida; Rosales; Rosaceae.